UGACCCUUUUUAAAGCCGAGGGUCACCUAGCCAACUGACGUUGUUAGUGAACCGAUAUUUGUUCACAAUUGAUUUAGCCACCCGCGUUUUGCGUGUGGCUUUUUUUCG
Molecule: small RNA, 108 nt
Organism: Vibrio nigripulchritudo
Lineage: Bacteria; Pseudomonadati; Pseudomonadota; Gammaproteobacteria; Vibrionales; Vibrionaceae
Rfam family: Qrr RNA
About the family: This family represents a set of small RNAs (the Qrr RNAs) that are thought to be involved in the regulation of quorum sensing in Vibrio species.
Source: Rfam